CAGUCGCCGCGGUAAUACAGAGGAUGCAAGCGUUAUCCGGAAUGAUUGGGCGUAAAGCGUCUGUAGGUGGCUUUUCAAGUCCGCCGUCAAAUCCUAGGGCUCAACCCUGGACAGGCGGUGGAAACUACCAAGCUGGAGUACGGUAGGGGCAGAGGGAAUUUCCGGUGGAGCGGUGAAAUGCGUAGAGAUGUGGAGGAACACCAGUGGCGAAGGCGACUCUCUGGUCUGUAACUGACGCUGAGGAGCGAAAGCGUGGGGAGCGAACAGGAUUAGAUACCCCCGUAGUCCCUGUCUCUUAUAC
RNAcentral lists this ribosomal RNA (301 nucleotides) under uncultured bacterium. RNAcentral describes it as "partial 16S ribosomal RNA". It matches the Rfam family "Bacterial small subunit ribosomal RNA", at positions 509 to 807 of the family's 1533-position model. The record is from RNAcentral.